RNAcentral lists this ribosomal RNA (1313 nucleotides) under Bacillus sp. (in: firmicutes). Its description in RNAcentral is "bacterial SSU rRNA". It matches the Rfam family "Bacterial small subunit ribosomal RNA", at positions 56 to 1353 of the family's 1533-position model. Lineage: Bacteria; Bacillati; Bacillota; Bacilli; Caryophanales; Bacillaceae. The record is from RNAcentral.
UGCAGUCGAGCGGACAGAUGGGAGCUUGCUCCCUGAUGUUAGCGGCGGACGGGUGAGUAACACGUGGGUAACCUGCCUGUAAGACUGGGAUAACUCCGGGAAACCGGGGCUAAUACCGGAUGGUUGUUUGAACCGCAUGGUUCAAACAUAAAAGGUGGCUUCGGCUACCACUUACAGAUGGACCCGCGGCGCAUUAGCUAGUUGGUGAGGUAACGGCUCACCAAGGCAACGAUGCGUAGCCGACCUGAGAGGGUGAUCGGCCACACUGGGACUGAGACACGGCCCAGACUCCUACGGGAGGCAGCAGUAGGGAAUCUUCCGCAAUGGACGAAAGUCUGACGGAGCAACGCCGCGUGAGUGAUGAAGGUUUUCGGAUCGUAAAGCUCUGUUGUUAGGGAAGAACAAGUACCGUUCGAAUAGGGCGGUACCUUGACGGUACCUAACCAGAAAGCCACGGCUAACUACGUGCCAGCAGCCGCGGUAAUACGUAGGUGGCAAGCGUUGUCCGGAAUUAUUGGGCGUAAAGGGCUCGCAGGCGGUUUCUUAAGUCUGAUGUGAAAGCCCCCGGCUCAACCGGGGAGGGUCAUUGGAAACUGGGGAACUUGAGUGCAGAAGAGGAGAGUGGAAUUCCACGUGUAGCGGUGAAAUGCGUAGAGAUGUGGAGGAACACCAGUGGCGAAGGCGACUCUCUGGUCUGUAACUGACGCUGAGGAGCGAAAGCGUGGGGAGCGAACAGGAUUAGAUACCCUGGUAGUCCACGCCGUAAACGAUGAGUGCUAAGUGUUAGGGGGUUUCCGCCCCUUAGUGCUGCAGCUAACGCAUUAAGCACUCCGCCUGGGGAGUACGGUCGCAAGACUGAAACUCAAAGGAAUUGACGGGGGCCCGCACAAGCGGUGGAGCAUGUGGUUUAAUUCGAAGCAACGCGAAGAACCUUACCAGGUCUUGACAUCCUCUGACAAUCCUAGAGAUAGGACGUCCCCUUCGGGGGCAGAGUGACAGGUGGUGCAUGGUUGUCGUCAGCUCGUGUCGUGAGAUGUUGGGUUAAGUCCCGCAACGAGCGCAACCCUUGAUCUUAGUUGCCAGCAUUCAGUUGGGCACUCUAAGGUGACUGCCGGUGACAAACCGGAGGAAGGUGGGGAUGACGUCAAAUCAUCAUGCCCCUUAUGACCUGGGCUACACACGUGCUACAAUGGACAGAACAAAGGGCAGCGAAACCGCGAGGUUAAGCCAAUCCCACAAAUCUGUUCUCAGUUCGGAUCGCAGUCUGCAACUCGACUGCGNGAAGCNGGAAUCGCUAGUAANCGNNGNUCANC